RNAcentral lists this ribosomal RNA (492 nucleotides) under uncultured bacterium. Its description in RNAcentral is "partial 16S ribosomal RNA". It matches the Rfam family "Bacterial small subunit ribosomal RNA", at positions 29 to 507 of the family's 1533-position model. The record is from RNAcentral.
AGUGAACGCUGGCGGUAGGCCUAACACAUGCAAGUCGAACGGCAGCACAGUAAGAGCUUGCUCUUACGGGUGGCGAGUGGCGGACGGGUGAGGAAUACAUCGGAAUCUACUUUUUCGUGGGGGAUAACGUAGGGAAACUUACGCUAAUACCGCAUACGACCUACGGGUGAAAGCAGGGGAUCUUCGGACCUUGCGCGAUUGAAUGAGCCGAUGUCGGAUUAGCUAGUUGGCGGGGUAAAGGCCCACCAAGGCGACGAUCCGUAGCUGGUCUGAGAGGAUGAUCAGCCACACUGGAACUGAGACACGGUCCAGACUCCUACGGGAGGCAGCAGUGGGGAAUAUUGGACAAUGGGCGCAAGCCUGAUCCAGCCAUACCGCGUGGGUGAAGAAGGCCUUCGGGUUGUAAAGCCCCUUUGUUGGGAAAGAAAAGCAGCAGGUGAAUACCCCGCUGUUCUGACGGUACCCAAAGAAUAAGCACCGGCUAACUUCGUG